Long non-coding RNA from Populus trichocarpa (black cottonwood), 792 nucleotides. RefSeq lists it as uncharacterized. Lineage: Eukaryota; Viridiplantae; Streptophyta; Magnoliopsida; Malpighiales; Salicaceae. The transcript is spliced from 2 exons. The record is from RefSeq and is a predicted model, not a curated record.
GCAGAUAAUGAACAUUGUGGACACCGCAAGUGGUGCCUCUAAAUGUGGCCUAGGAACUUUCAAAAUCACUUUGACCCUUUCAGAUUAGAGAUUAGAUCUAAGGCCUUCCAGAAGGAAAUAAUACGUGUGAGUUUAUUACUUUUGUCACCAACUCAGUGUACACCCCGUGUGUGGACAUUUUUGUGAUUUCAAAUAGACCAUAGUUUUUUUUUUCCCUUUGUCCCUUCACUUCCAUUCCGAGCCUAUAAAUAUGCACCCUAGUCACCUGUUUCCUUCCGUUCAUAUCAAAAAUCAUUUCAAAGAGAGAGAAAAGGAAAGACACCAUGGCAGGAAUCAUGCACAAGAUUGAGGAGACCCUCCACAUUGGAGGCAAAAAAGAAGAGCAAAAGAGUGGGAAAUCUGGUGAGGAGCACAAGAGUGGGAAAUCUGGUGAGCACAAAGGUGAACACAAGGGGGAGUACCGUGGUGAGCACAAGGAAGGAUUUGUUGACAAGAUCCAUGGUGAUGGCCAUGGCGAAGGAGAGAAAAAGAAGAAGGAGAAGAAGGAGAAGAAGAAGAAGGAGAAGAAGCAUGGUCAUGAUGGCCAUAGCAGCAGUGACAGCGACAGUGAUUAAAAAUCUUCCACUUUUUCUAAAUAUGAGGCGGCGUGAUGGAGUCGAAGAUGUCGAGGUCCUGUCUACCAGUGUUACAGAUACAUUAUCACAAGAAGAACAAAAAGCCUGUCCAUUUCAAUAUUCUAUGGAGUAAAUCCAAAAUGAUAUUAAUAAUAAAUAAACAUAAUGUUCUGUGUCU